CCCUUAGAUGUUCUGGGCCGCACGCGCGCUACACUGACGGAGUCAACGAGUUGUCCCGCAUCGGAAGGUGUGGGUAAUCUUUUGAAACUUCGUCGUGCUGGGGAUAGAUCUUUGCAAUUUUCGAUCUUGAACGAGGAAUUCCUAGUAAGCGUGAUUCAUCAGAUCGCGUUGAUUACGUCCCUGCCCUUUGUACACACCGCCCGUCGCUACUACCGAUUGAAUGGUUUAGUGAGGCCUCGGGACUGGCGCGCUCGAGUAGCAAUACACCUGCGCGCCGGGAACUUGGUCAAACUUGAUCAUUUAGAGGAAGUAAAAGUCGUANCA
Molecule: ribosomal RNA, 324 nt
Filed under: uncultured eukaryote
Lineage: Eukaryota
Description: partial 18S ribosomal RNA
Rfam family: Eukaryotic small subunit ribosomal RNA
Source: RNAcentral